AUGGCCCCCUCCCUCCUCGCCGCCGCCGCCUCCGCCUCGCCCUUCCUCCUCCACGGCGCCGCCGGAAGCGCCAGCCGCAGGCCGGUCGCCCCCGGUCGCCGCGCCGCAUCCUCCGUGCGCGUGCACGCCGCCAUCAAGUGCGACCCUUCCAAGGUGGAGCCGCAGUCCGACCGGGUGCUCGUCCGUCUCGAGACUAUCCCAGAGAAAUCUGCUGGGGGAGUCCUGCUACCAAAAUCUGCUGUUAAAUUCGAGAGAUAUUUGAUGGGCGAGAUUUUAUCGGUCGGUGUUGAUGUUAGUGAAGUUGAAGCUGGAAAGAAGGUUCUCUUCUCUGACAUAAACGCUUACGAGGUGGACCUGGGAACAGAAGAGAAGCACUGCUUCUGCCGGGAGUCGGAUCUCUUGGCUGUCGUCGCAUGA
RNAcentral lists this ribosomal RNA (417 nucleotides) under Triticum aestivum (bread wheat). RNAcentral describes it as "partial small subunit ribosomal RNA". The record is from RNAcentral. Lineage: Eukaryota; Viridiplantae; Streptophyta; Magnoliopsida; Poales; Poaceae.